GACGAACGCUGGCGGCGUGCUUAACACAUGCAAGUCGAACGGAAAGGCCCUGCUUUUGUGGGGUGCUCGAGUGGCGAACGGGUGAGUAACACGUGAGUAACCUGCCCUUGACUUUGGGAUAACUUCAGGAAACUGGGGCUAAUACCGGAUAGGAGCUCCUGCUGCAUGGUGGGGGUUGGAAAGUUUCGGCGGUUGGGGAUGGACUCGCGGCUUAUCAGCUUGUUGGUGGGGUAGUGGCUUACCAAGGCUUUGACGGGUAGCCGGCCUGAGAGGGUGACCGGCGACAUUGGGACUGAGAGACGGCCCAGACUCCUACGGUAGGCAGCAGUGGGGAAUAUUGCACAAUGGGCGGAAGCCUGAUGCAGCAGCGCCGCGUGCGGGAUGACGGCCUGCGGGUUGUAAACCGCUUUCGCCUGUGACGAAGCGGGAGUGACGGUAAUGGGUAAAGAAGCACCGGCUAACUACGUG
Molecule: ribosomal RNA, 468 nt
Filed under: uncultured bacterium
Lineage: Bacteria
Description: partial 16S ribosomal RNA
Rfam family: Bacterial small subunit ribosomal RNA
Source: RNAcentral